AACGAACGCUGGCGGCAGGCCUAACACAUGCAAGUCGAGCGAGGACUUCGGUUCUAGCGGCGGACGGGUGAGUAACGCGUGGGAAUGUGCCCUUCUCUACGGAAUAGCCCUGGGAAACUGGGAGUAAUACCGUAUACGCCCUAUUGGGGAAAGAUUUAUCGGAGAAGGAUCAGCCCGCGUUGGAUUAGGUAGUUGGUGGGGUAAUGGCCUACCAAGCCGACGAUCCAUAGCUGGUUUGACAGGAUGAUCAGCCACACUGGGACUGAGACACGGCCCAGACUCCUACGGGAGGCAGCAGUGGGGAAUCUUAGACAAUGGGGGCAACCCUGAUCUAGCCAUGCCGCGUGAGUGAUGAAGGCCUUAGGGUUGUAAAGCUCUUUCAGCUGGGAAGAUAAUGACGGUACCAGCAGAAGAAGCCCCGGCUAACUCCGUG
RNAcentral lists this ribosomal RNA (433 nucleotides) under uncultured bacterium. RNAcentral's name for it is "partial 16S ribosomal RNA". It matches the Rfam family "Bacterial small subunit ribosomal RNA", at positions 29 to 507 of the family's 1533-position model. The record is from RNAcentral.